RNA transcript from Caretta caretta (loggerhead turtle), 938 nucleotides. It is a transcript of the gene named HscB mitochondrial iron-sulfur cluster cochaperone, with no coding region annotated. NCBI's taxonomy places the organism in Eukaryota, Metazoa, Chordata, Testudines, Cheloniidae. The record is from RefSeq and is a predicted model, not a curated record.
AUGUGGGUUGUGUGGAGGGGUCAGCUCUGCAGGGCGCUGUGGGGCUCUCGGGCUCCAGCCGCCUCUUCUCGGCCGCGUAGUGCGGAAGCCGGCUCGCUCCCCGCCCCACGCUGCUGGAGUUGUGGUAUCGCUCUCCCCGCUCCCGGGGGGCUCCCUCGCUUCUGUCCGGCCUGCCAGGCCCUGCAGCCGCCGGAGUCCCAGCCUGACCUCUUCCGCCUGAUGGACUGCGAUCGCUCAUUCAACAUCAAUGUGCAGCAGCUGCAGCAGCGAUUCCGGAGCUUGCAACGCUCCCUGCACCCUGAUUACUUCACCCAGAGACCCCAGAAAGAGCGGGACUUUUCUGAACAACACUCUUCCUUGGUUAACAGAGCCUACCAAACCCUUCUAAGUCCCUUGAGACGUGGAUUGUACCUACUGGAGCUGAAUGGAGUGGAACUGGCAAAAGGGACAGACAGUGACAUAGAUGUGGAGUUCCUCAAGGAAAUCAUGGAAAUCAAUGAGACGCUGGCAGAACCUAAUAAUGAGGCUAAAAUAGAAGAGAUUGAAAGUUUCAUUGAAGUUAAACGAGAAGAAUUGACCAAGGAUGUGAGCAAAGCUUUUGAAAGAGGCAGGGUGACAAAAUGGUACCCUUUGGGACCCCACAAUUAACAGCACUUCGGGAAGAGAAGCAAUUGCCAACUACACAGUGAGAUCUUUCCAAGAAAAAAGAACAAAGCCACUGAAGAGCAGCCUUCUCCACUCCUGCUAGGGUCUGCUGAUGAUCUUCAAGAAGCCAAGAAACUUCUAGCCAAAAUGAAAUACUUUGAAAACUUGGAGGACAAGGUGAAGAGCAAGAAGAAUCCUUCCUGAUAUCACAUUCUUUGCCAUUAAGACCCGAUCCACUUUUGAUUAAAAUAGUGAUUUUGUAGUUUCUGAUUCAGGAACUAAAAGCAGCACAA